Felis catus (domestic cat) is the source of this 1676-nucleotide long non-coding RNA. RefSeq lists it as uncharacterized. The record is from RefSeq and is a predicted model, not a curated record. The transcript is spliced from 3 exons. NCBI's taxonomy places the organism in Eukaryota, Metazoa, Chordata, Mammalia, Carnivora, Felidae.
UCUGUCCCAAAAAUAAAAUAAACGUUGAAAAAAAAAUUUUUUUUUUAAAAUAAAGAAACAUUUAAAAAAAAACCAUUCAUGCCUCCAAAUCGGAGCCGUAAUCAAAUUAUGGAGGACACCAAGGUGGCAGUGACUCAGAUCCAGGCCUUGAACAAGUCCAGGCUCCGAACAAGACCUACAAAUGAGUGGUUAGUCGAUCUCUACAAAGACCUGUCUAGAAAAGCUGAAAGGUAGCCCUGAAGUGGGAGAAAGUGAACUAAUUAAGCACAGUAAUAGUCUAGGAAUGUCUUUGCAGGUUUGAGAAUUUACCAAGAUCGGGGGAUGUAAGCUUCAUGGGUGGAAAGGGUCCGCCCUACGUAACUGAGUUUGGUGGGAGUAUGGAUGCAGGAAUCCCUUUCUCUUGUUUUCCUGCAGAAAAGAAAGUAAAUGUGGGAGCGUCUGGGACCGUGAGGGCCCCAUAAUGGGGCAACCUGGGCUAAAAUUCUCCACACUUUCUCCCCGGGCAUAGGCAAAGGGCAGCCUGACCCUUCUCCCUGGCCUGCCGCUUCCCCAAGGCAACCCAGGGACCGGCUCCAACAUCUUCAAGUUUUCAAGUAUAGUCCUUCAACACUCGGUCUCAAUUUCCUCAACUCCCCGGCCUGCUGUGUCCUCUGCUGUCCCAUCUUUGGUGUUUCUAGGGGCAUCAUCAAAAGAGAAGGGGAGCAUCAGAACAGCUUCCACAGGAGGCUGAGAUGGAACCUGCUGGGCAGCGAACGCCCUUGGCAUUGGAGAGCAAAGCCAUCACUGAAAACAAAGACAACCAGUGAGCUAUUUUGUGCACAAACGGUCCCUUUGCCGAUCUCAUCAAGCCAGAAACAAAUAUCCUGGAAUCAUUGGCUAGCGGCCAAGAAGAAGACCUGGGGUCCAAACUUGCUUAACCCCAAAUGCGGUGCUCUUUUCACUGCAUCAUCCUAUCUGCCUCGCUGGAUCCCGGGAAGGCUUGACUGGUAAGACCAGAAGACACAAGGAUGGGCUGGAAGGCGGCCAUGCUGGAAAAAGAGAUCUUUUGGAGAGCACGCUUAGAAGUCAGUAUUGCUUUUAGCAACACAGGGAUCCUGCUAGGGGUCCCACCAGGAAGGAAGAAUCCCUCCUUUUGAGGGCAACCAUGAUGCUGCAGAAGUGAAGGCAUCAGGGAGACUUGGGGCAAGACAUAGGAGCAAGUGUCAUGGCAGCCAUGCCCAGAAUGGGAAGUCAAGGCACAAAGCCAACCCAGUCCACAGGAGGGGGACAUUCUCAUCAGCCAUGCUUAAGAUAGUUCUCCCUCCACUAAUGUGGUUAGUUGUGUAAAAUGUAGAGACAUGGCCCCAGUGACGGUCAAGUGUUUUCAGUGCAUGCUUUCCCAGUCAGACUUUCCCUUCAACUUCUUUUAUUUUGUUAUUAAUCAAGAUGCCCCAGUAUUUGGGGAUUGCUUGCUAAUUCCACUUAAAUUUGUAGUGUAAUUCUGGAUCGGGUAGACAAAGAAGAACCUUCUUCCCGUGCCCCUCACAACAGUAAGUACCUUGAAAACUACUUGAGUGGGGCGCCUGGGUGGUUCAGUCGGUUGAGCGUCUGACUUGGGCUGUGGUCAUGAUCUCCUGGUUCGUGAGUUCGAGCCCCACAUUGGACUCUCUGCUGACAGCACAGAUCCUGCUUUGGAU